This 770-nucleotide long non-coding RNA is filed under the name Anser brachyrhynchus (Pink-footed goose). RNAcentral describes it as "lncRNA (ENSABRG00000016447.1)". The record is from RNAcentral. Lineage: Eukaryota; Metazoa; Chordata; Aves; Anseriformes; Anatidae.
UGCGGCUGCUGAUCAAUUUUGUGACAUGAAGGAUGGUGGUGUCACGACCUGGCAGGAACAGACAGUGACCGCAGGAGACGGAAGAGGAGUGGAUCCAGAUGAGGAAAUAACCCACCGGUGAUGCAGUGUUCAGUAAAAAAGCAUGGGGGCAAAACGUACAAUUAAAGAAAUCAGGGAGAGAUGAGGAGGUCAGGUGGCUGUGGGUUGUAAAAUCCUGCAGUCCAGAAUUGAAACCUCAUACACCCCAAAUCUCUAUUACCUUUUCCUCACUCUUUUCCUUGUUACUUUUGCUCUUUGGUUCAGCAGUUUUUCUGAAUAUAAGAUAAUUCGUCUUAGACUGGGUGGCAGGGGACAGACUUCAGCUGGUGUGCAUGGGUCUAACUUCACACUGGCUGCGAAGCUGCUCCAGCACUCUUUGUUCUUUGUGCAGGAAAACAGAAGUGCCGAGAGACAUCAGCUGCGCCGUGCUAAUCGCAGCGCUCGUGGCUGGGCUCUCCUCAUCCGCUGCUUUUGUCACACAUCGCUUUGUACCGUUUUCCUGCAGUUUUGUCAGCCAGAAACAUUGCAUACAGGACCAUUGAAUAAUUGAGCUAUUGAAGAAUCAUAGCCAAACUCCAUCAUCAGACUACCCUCAAAGUCGGCUUUUGACCACUGAAUGAAAGGUGAUGCUGCCAAGCCAUCAGUGGCAAACAGUCAGAAUAUGAUUUCUACAGACCCUUCUAGCAUUAAACUUUAUCUGAUUGUGCUGAAUAUUGCUCAGUGUAUGUUCC